UGAUAUGGCUCAGUUGGUAGAGCAAUUGCUUCGUAAUCAAUAGGUCGGCGGUUCGACUCCGCCUAUCA
RNAcentral lists this transfer RNA (68 nucleotides) under Peptoniphilus phoceensis. It matches the Rfam family "tRNA". Rfam says of the family: Transfer RNA (tRNA) molecules are approximately 80 nucleotides in length. Their secondary structure includes four short double-helical elements and three loops (D, anti-codon, and T loops). The record is from RNAcentral. Lineage: Bacteria; Bacillati; Bacillota; Tissierellia; Tissierellales; Peptoniphilaceae.